UGGCGAACGGGUGAGUAACGCGUGAGGAACCUGCCUCAAAGAGGGGGACAACAGUUGGAAACGACUGCUAAUACCGCAUAAGCCCACGGGUCGGCAUCGACCUGAGGGAAAAGGAGCAAUCCGCUUUGAGAUGGCCUCGCGUCCAAUUAGCUAGUUGGUGAGGUAACGGCCCACCAAGGCGACGAUCGGUAGCCGGACUGAGAGGUUGAACGGCCACAUUGGGACUGAGACACGGCCCAG
Molecule: ribosomal RNA, 240 nt
Filed under: uncultured bacterium
Lineage: Bacteria
Description: partial 16S ribosomal RNA
Rfam family: Bacterial small subunit ribosomal RNA
Source: RNAcentral